UAACAAGGAUUCCCCUAGUAACUGCGAGUGAAGCGGGAUGAGCUCAAAUUUAAAAUCUGGCGGUCUCUGGCCGUCCGAGUUGUAGUCUGGAGAAGCGUUUUCCGCGUCGGACCGUGUACAAGUCUCCUGGAAUGGAGCGUCAUAGAGGGUGAGAAUCCCGUCCAUGGCACGGACAGCCGAUGCUCUGUGAUACGCUCUCGAAGAGUCGAGUUGUUUGGGAAUGCAGCUCAAAAUGGGUGGUAAAUUCCAUCUAAAGCUAAAUAUUGGCGAGAGACCGAUAGCGAACAAGUACCGUGAGGGAAAGAUGAAAAGCACUUUGAAAAGAGAGUUAAACAGUACGUGAAAUUGUUGAAAGGGAAACGCUUGAAGUCAGUCGCGUCUCGUAGAACUCAGCCUGGUUUCGGCCUGGUGUACUUUCUAUGUGGACGGGUCAACAUCAAUUUUGGCCGGUGGACAAAGGUGAAGGGAAUGUAGCGUUGCUUCGGUGACGUGUUAUAGCCCUUUGCUGUAUACACUGGCUGGGAUUGAGGACUGCAGCGCGCCUUAUUGGCCGGGGGUUCGCCCUACGUACCGCGCUUAGGAUGUUGGCAUAAUGGCUUUAAGCGACCCGUCUUGAAACACGGACCAAGGAGUCUAACAUGUUUGCGAGUGUUCGGGUGGAAAACCCUUGCGCGUAAUGAAAGUGAAAGUUGGGAUCCUCCGCAAGGGGGUGCACCGACGCCCGGCCCUGAAGUUCUCUGACGGUGCUGCGGUAGAGCAAGUAUGUUGGGACCCGAAAGAUGGUGAACUAUGCCUGAAUAGGGCGAAGCCAGAGGAAACUCUGGUGGAGGCUCGUAGCGAUUCUGACGUGCAAAUCGAUCGUCAAAUUUGGG
Molecule: ribosomal RNA, 872 nt
Filed under: Mensularia hastifera
Lineage: Eukaryota; Fungi; Basidiomycota; Agaricomycetes; Hymenochaetales; Hymenochaetaceae
Description: eukaryotic LSU rRNA
Rfam family: Eukaryotic large subunit ribosomal RNA
Source: RNAcentral